Long non-coding RNA from Vespa velutina, 1610 nucleotides. RefSeq lists it as uncharacterized. The record is from RefSeq and is a predicted model, not a curated record. Lineage: Eukaryota; Metazoa; Arthropoda; Insecta; Hymenoptera; Vespidae. The transcript has 5 exons.
UGUGUGCGAUGUUGGUGCGCAUGUGCGGCCAAUCAGUUGGGCUCUUUGUUCUUCUCAUCAUCUGUUCAUGCUUAUUUUAGUUCUGAAGGUCCACAAGAAGUGUCGUCAGUACUGUCGUCAGUUACUAUCAGUUGUAAGGACGAAGAAGAUGGUAGAAGAAAGAAGAAAUAAUUUCAUGAUGUAACUUUGAACAAAUAGCAGGUGAUGCUCCAUAGAUAGGUCUUCGUCAUUCUUGUUGCCGAGAUCGCUGAGAUCAGUUUGGAUCCGUAUGUGAUAACGAAGUUUUAUCAUCUCGUAAUUACAGAUUAUGAUUGCAGUUGUUCGUGCAGCUAUAGAUGAAUCGAUCUUUGUUUCGAUAAAAUAAAGAAGGAAUUGUGAAGUAGAUUUGUUGUUAAUGUUUUUCGGUUAAUUUAAAUUUGUUUGCGUUUUAUGAUGUUAAAAAGCUUUUAGGAAUAUCUGUAUGAAUAAUUUGUUCAAAGCAGUCAUAGAGUCAAUAUUUGUUCGUAUAAAAUUUUAUUUUUCUUUUUUUCUACAAUCAGAUAUACUAUAGAUACUUAUAUAUAAAACAAGCAAUAGAUAUUCGCGAAUUAAAUUCAUUGUUUGCCUCUUAAUUAUUAAAUAAUUAUUGCGCAUUUGAGUCAGUGCAUCAUGGAAGAUGAUCAAGGACCUAUUACACUUCUGUAGAAGAAUAUUGAUUUGCAUUGUCAUUAAGUCAAUGUACUACAAAUUCAAUCUAAUUAAUUUUCCAUCUACGUCGAUUUAUUUCAUUUUGGACUUAUUACGGAACAGUUUACAUUAAUUUCGAGCUACAACGGGGCGAAUGUUUUGGAGUUACUGUGGAUCUUAAGCAAUGAUAGUUAUUGAGACAGCAGCAGGUGUAGCUUGCAGAACGGAAGCCGAAUUGUGUGCAAACCAGAUGUGCAAACUCUGGAGACGCGGUUAUUCUGUUAUGCUCCAGGAAGAUUGAGUGAUGUGAUCAACGCCCUAAUUCAUGGGAAUGCGCCUUUAUCAACGUUAUGGUGUCUGGAGAGAUGAUGGCAGAUAAGUGCAACUAGGAGCUGUGUUGUAAUAGUGUGCGGAUUUAAUACUUGCCGCUUCAGUUUUUCCAAAAGUCCUGUAAGACCAUAAGUCCAUAAGUCUCGUUUGCGCAUUUGUUCGUCAGAAUUUGUUACUAGAUCUUUAAAUUAAGAAUUAUGCCCCUACUCUUGAUAUGAGAACGAGAUGAAAGUGCAUGGAAUUGAAUAUAAGAGUAGUCAGCUUCUGUUCGCCGAUAGUUUUUCUAAGAUUAUAUUUAGUUGAUUUGAUAGCUGCCUCCCGCAAUUCAUUUGAAUGGAGAUUGACUGGUGGAGGAAUGGACUGUAAGUUAUUAUUGAAGAUGGAUGCGCUGUCGUUAAAAAGCUGUUGAUGAACUGUGGUACUGAGCAGACGAUCUAGCUCGUGCAGUUGGUGAUGCGCUCUAAGAAAGUUAGUGACGUUAUUACUGAAGAUGACAGCCGAGUUUAUCGAUAGAUAACAAAGCGGCAAUGAAUAAAUAAUGUUGAAUCAAAAAACAGUAAGAAUGAAUUGAUUCCUGAUGCUCCUUUAACAUAGGAACUUUGUGCACGACGCAA